CCUACGGGAGGCAGCAGUCGGGAAUAUUGGACAAUGGGCGGAAGCCUGAUCCAGCAAUACCGCGUGUGUGAAGAAGGCCUGCGGGUUGUAAAGCACUUUCAGUUGGGAAGAUAAUGACGUUACCAACAGAAGAAGCACCGGCUAACUACGUGCCAGCAGCCGCGGUAAUAAU
RNAcentral lists this ribosomal RNA (172 nucleotides) under uncultured bacterium. RNAcentral describes it as "partial 16S ribosomal RNA". It matches the Rfam family "Bacterial small subunit ribosomal RNA", at positions 338 to 526 of the family's 1533-position model. The record is from RNAcentral.